Long non-coding RNA from Cyanistes caeruleus (blue tit), 819 nucleotides. RefSeq lists it as uncharacterized. Lineage: Eukaryota; Metazoa; Chordata; Aves; Passeriformes; Paridae. The record is from RefSeq and is a predicted model, not a curated record.
GUGGGACCUUACACUGCUGCUUCAUUAUUGAAGUGUGCAAUGACAGCCAGCUUCAGAAUAACCUUGUUUGCAGCAGGGUGAAACAAGAGUGAUAUUCUUGUCACAACUGCAAUGUAGCUGGUGACAGGAGUCGUGAGAGGCUGCACUUGAUUCUCCAGUGUCCUAUGGAAGAUGUCCACAGGAAAAGACCUACCUUAGGAAAGGCUGUGACAAAAUAUGCAACCCAGGAUGAUCACCAUGGGAGCAGCAAGAAGACUGAUUUCCCAAGGAAAGCCAUGAAGGGAAAACACUAGCCUUGCUGAUUGAAGACUGUGUUUCAAGCAGUAAAAGCUGGCAAUACUGAGAAGAAACAUAAGCUCGAGAAGGAACUCUGCUCCAACGAGUGCCCUGUUGUGAGAUAAGUUUUUCUUUUAGUGAUGAAUCAACAUAAUAAUCCAUCUGUAACACUAGAUGCGUCUGCCUGUACUACAGCAAAGGGCCAUCUGCCCAUCUGCAUAGAUGUUCAAAAUGCUGCUGGGACAACCAUGAUGGUCUCUUAAUGAAAGGCACUUGGCAAUUAGUACUUCAGUGAAAUCGUGCCUGGGUGGCUCUGAACUCCCAUUUGUCCUUCCCACUCCAAUGCAACAAGUGUCUGUAACUUUUUCUUUUUGUUUUUAUUCCAGCAUUUUCUCUUUAAAGCCUGGUGGGGAGGGGUGGACACGUUCUGAUGCCUGCAACAGCAGGAGCUGAGGCAAGUUGUAAUCAACAUAUGUCCUGUGUGAGCUGCGCGGCCGCGAAUUAGCAGGACAAACCGCUCCUCGUUUCCAAAAUACCCACCUG